Molecule: long non-coding RNA, 623 nt
Filed under: Apteryx rowi (Okarito brown kiwi)
Lineage: Eukaryota; Metazoa; Chordata; Aves; Apterygiformes; Apterygidae
Description: lncRNA (ENSARWG00000008919.1)
Source: RNAcentral
GUUUAGCGGACCCUUGAUAGCUGCAGAACCUGCUACAGUAGGAGGUGUUCUGGCAUGGGUAACUAAGAUUGAUUGCCAUGGCUGAAGUUGAAGAGACCAGAAAAACGUAAGCAAGCUGAAGUAAUGAAAUCAAAUGGAACCAACUGAGAGCCGUCUCCAUCGCCCAAAAAGGGAAAGCCCGUUCCUCCUGGCGAGGAAGGAUCACCAUUAAUAGUGAUCGGAAUAAUAGAUCACCAACAUAUAAGGGCGAUGGAUUUUUACUAUGCCUCCAUCAACAAGCGCUGGCUGGCAAAGUUACGUCAUGUCCCAACUGAGACUCUUAGGCAAGACGGAGGAGUUCAGGAGUUCAGAACAUCGGGGAACGACUAUGUGCUGCCAUGAAGAACUACAGGCUACUGUCCUCAGCCCUUUGUAAGUUAUCAGGCGUCAAGAGCGGCCAGGAGACUCCAAAUACCAGCGGAAAGGUUCUCUGCCCGGUGCUGGCGAGGUGCCUUCAGCCGUAGGAGGGUCGGCCGUGUCCUUACCGGACUUGUGAGUAAUAAGCCGCAGUUCACGGACCAGCAAAGGAGGGGGGGGAAACAGCAACCGGUAGCCCAGUGGCUACGGCAUUGCUGUUGCUAGCA